UACGUAGGGGCCGAGCGUUGUCCGGAGUUAUUGGGCGUAAAGCGCGCGCAGGCGGCCUCGCGCGCCCGACGUGAAAGCCCCCGGCUUAACCGGGGAGGGUCGUUGGGGACGGCGGGGCUUGAGGGCGGGAGAGGUCGGUGGAAUUCCCGGUGUAGUGGUGAAAUGCGUAGAGAUCGGGAGGAACACCUGUGGCGAAGACGGCCGACUGGGCCGACCCUGACGCUGAGGCGCGAAGGCGUGGGGAGCGAACGGG
RNAcentral lists this ribosomal RNA (253 nucleotides) under uncultured bacterium. RNAcentral's name for it is "partial 16S ribosomal RNA". It matches the Rfam family "Bacterial small subunit ribosomal RNA", at positions 524 to 776 of the family's 1533-position model. The record is from RNAcentral.